UACAGAGGUCUCAAGCGUUGUUCGGAUUCAUUGGGCGUAAAGGGCGCGUAGGCGGCCUGCUAAGUCGGAUGUGAAAUCCCUCGGCUCAACCGAGGAACUGCAUCCGAUACUGGCGGGCUGGAAUCCGGGAGAGGGAUGUGGAAUUCCAGGUGUAGCGGUGAAAUGCGUAGAUAUCUGGAGGAACACCGGUGGCGAAGGCGGCAUCCUGGACCGGUAUUGACGCUGAGGCGCGAAAGCUAGGGGAGCAAACGGG
RNAcentral lists this ribosomal RNA (253 nucleotides) under uncultured bacterium. RNAcentral's name for it is "partial 16S ribosomal RNA". It matches the Rfam family "Bacterial small subunit ribosomal RNA", at positions 524 to 776 of the family's 1533-position model. The record is from RNAcentral.